UACAGAGGGGGCAAGCGUUGUUCGGAAUUACUGGGCGUAAAGGGCGCGUAGGCGGCCUGUUAAGUCGAACGUGAAAUCCCUGGGCUCAACCCAGGAACUGCGUCCGAUACUGGCAGGCUUGAAUUCGGGAGAGGGAUGCGGAAUUCCAGGUGUAGCGGUGAAAUGCGUAGAUAUCUGGAGGAACACCGGUGGCGAAGGCGGCAUCCUGGACCAAUAUUGACGCUGAGGAGCGAAAGCCAGGGGAGCAAACGGG
Molecule: ribosomal RNA, 253 nt
Filed under: uncultured bacterium
Lineage: Bacteria
Description: partial 16S ribosomal RNA
Rfam family: Bacterial small subunit ribosomal RNA
Source: RNAcentral